Long non-coding RNA from Teleopsis dalmanni, 967 nucleotides. RefSeq lists it as uncharacterized. Lineage: Eukaryota; Metazoa; Arthropoda; Insecta; Diptera; Diopsidae. The transcript is spliced from 3 exons. The record is from RefSeq and is a predicted model, not a curated record.
UAGUCAUAUUUUAAGUUUUUUUUUCUUUUAAAAUGAUUUGAAUAGAAUCCAUCCAAAAGUUAAUUACUUUUCAAAUAAGCCACACUGUUCGUGUGAAUACAUCACGCGUCACAUAUACAAAUUAAUAUCUGCCAGAACUAUUUGAAUAUUUCUUGACUCAGGUGAGGUGAAUGUACUUAAUCAAAAGAAUUUUUUUGAUUGUAAAAUUGCCAAUGAAUAAAAUAAACAGAACAAUUAACGAUUUUUCAAUUGGCAUUUUUGUAAGUUAAUAAAGUGUGACAAAUUAAGAAUACAAAAGACAGGAAAAAAUUCUUAGAUGAAAUCAGCAAUAAAAUUUGGAAUAGAUUCCUAAAUAGUUUCGAGCACACGAGAAUAUCAUCACUUAAGCAGAUACAAGUACUUUAGAGAGCUCAAAUAGUGAAAAGCAUUUAAUUGUUAAAAAACAGCGAAGUUUAUAUCGCAUUUGUAUCUACUCGUACGCAUGUAAAGCUGUUACAGUACAUAUCUCACAACCUUUUUUUCGAGACUAAUAUCUUUUAUUACUUACGGAUGUUGUUUAUUACGUUUAAGUGGAAAAAAUAUAUAGACCCAGAAAAAGAAAAAAUUCAACAAAAUUCUAUUUUAUGACAAGGUAAAGGCUAAGUACUAGACUACUUUUUCAUUUUGUUCUGUUCGGCUGUUUGGCUGUUUGGAGUAUUUGCAUAAAAUAGUAGUGAAGUGCGUUUAGUAGGCAAUCAUCAUCGAUGGUAAUCAUAAAGAACUACUCAAGUGUGGCAAUACUAAAAAGCGAAAUGACAACAAAAAACAAAAAACAAAAAAAUUCAAGAAAGAAUAUCAAUGACUGACAGAUAGUCAGCCAGCGACGCCGUCAGACAUCGUCAGACGGCAUUAGAAUGGAAUUGUGGAAUUGUAAAUUGCAAAACUCAAACGUAUGAUGAAUUAAAAGAACCUAAUACACAUACAUACA